This 709-nucleotide ribosomal RNA is filed under the name uncultured bacterium. RNAcentral's name for it is "bacterial SSU rRNA". It matches the Rfam family "Bacterial small subunit ribosomal RNA", at positions 100 to 804 of the family's 1533-position model. The record is from RNAcentral.
GUGGGAGAGUAACGCGUGGAUAUCCUGCCCCUAGACCCGGGAUAAGCUGUGAGAAAACUGCAAGUAAUACCGGAUAAUGUCNCCCGGACCCAAAGGUGGUGAUUCCGUCUUAGGGAUGAGUCCGGCGUCUUACUAGCUUGUUGGUGGGGUAAAUGGCCUACCAAGGGCAAUGAUGGGUAGCGGGGUGUGAGGGGCAUGGCCCGUCCUCACUGGGACUGAGAACACUCCCCAGACACCUACGGGGUGGCUGCAGUCGAGAAAUCUUCCGCAAUGGACGAAAGUCUGACGGAGCGACGCCGCGUGCGGGAUGAAGGCCCUCGGGGUUGUAAACCGCUGUCAGUUGGGAGGAAAUGCAUAAGGGUACUCUCUUAUGUUUGACCGAUCUUCAGAGGAAGUCCGGGCUAAGUUCGUGCCAGCAGCCGCGGUAAGACGAACCGGACGAACGUUAUUCGGAAUCACUGGGCUUAAAGAGUGCGUAGGCGGCUUGGUAGGUUGGGUGUGAAAUCCCACAGCUCAACUGUGGAACUGCGCUCAAAACCACCAAGCUUGAGGAAGGCAGAGGUGAGCGGAACUGAUGGUGGAGCGGUGAAAUGCGUUGAUAUCAUCAGGAACACCGGUGGCGAAGGCGGCUCACUGGGCCUUUUCUGACGCUGAGGCACGAAAGCUAGGGUAGCGAACAGGAUUAGAUACCCUGGUAGUCCUAGCUGUA